GGAUAUAGCUCAAUGGUAGAGCACUUGCCUAGCAUGUACAAGACCUGGAUUCAAUCCCCAGUACUG
Molecule: transfer RNA, 66 nt
Filed under: Marmota monax (woodchuck)
Lineage: Eukaryota; Metazoa; Chordata; Mammalia; Rodentia; Sciuridae
Description: tRNA.Ala
Rfam family: tRNA
About the family: Transfer RNA (tRNA) molecules are approximately 80 nucleotides in length. Their secondary structure includes four short double-helical elements and three loops (D, anti-codon, and T loops).
Source: RNAcentral